AGAGUUUGAUCAUGGCUCAGGAUGAACGCUAGCGACAGGCCUAACACAUGCAAGUCGAGGGGCAGCAUGGUAUCAGCUUGCUGAUACCGAUGGCGACCGGCGCACGGGUGAGUAACGCGUAUGUAAUCUGCCUGUAACAGAGGGAUAACCCGGAGAAAUCCGGACUAAUACCUCAUAGCACAUAUUAUUCGCAUGAGUUUUAUGUUAAGGAGACUCGGUUACAGAUGAACAUACGUUCCAUUAGCUGGUUGGCGGGGUCACGGCCCACCAAGGCGACGAUGGAUAGGGGUUCUGAGAGGAAGGUCCCCCACACUGGUACUGAGACACGGACCAGACUCCUACGGGAGGCAGCA
Molecule: ribosomal RNA, 353 nt
Filed under: uncultured bacterium
Lineage: Bacteria
Description: bacterial SSU rRNA
Rfam family: Bacterial small subunit ribosomal RNA
Source: RNAcentral